RNAcentral lists this ribosomal RNA (468 nucleotides) under uncultured bacterium. RNAcentral describes it as "partial 16S ribosomal RNA". It matches the Rfam family "Bacterial small subunit ribosomal RNA", at positions 28 to 507 of the family's 1533-position model. The record is from RNAcentral.
GACGAACGCUGGCGGCGUGCUUAACACAUGCAAGUCGAACGGAAAGGCCCUGCUUUUGUGGGGUGCUCGAGUGGCGAACGGGUGAGUAACACGUGAGUAACCUGCCCUUGACUUUGGGAUAACUUCAGGAAACUGGGGCUAAUACCGGAGAGGAGCUCCUGCUGCAUGGUGGGGGUUGGAAAGUUUCGGCGGUUGGGGAUGGACUCGCGGCUUAUCAGCUUGUUUGUGGGGUAGUGGCGUACCAAGGCUUUGACGGGUAGCCGGCAUGAGAGGGUGACCGGCCACAUUGGGACUGAGAUACGGCGCAGACUGCUACGGGAGGCAGCAGUGGGGAAUAUUGCACAAUGGGCGGAAGCCUGAUGCAGCAACGCCGCGUGCGGGAUGACGGCCUUCGGGUUGUAAACCGCUUUCGCCUGUGACGAAGCGUGAGUGACGGUAAUGGGUAAAGAAGCACCGGCUAACUACGUG